GUCAGUCCGUCUUCUCUCUCGCUCUGCUUCUUCCUUUCCAAAUCCUUUUUCUCUUUUUCGUACAGAACUGAGCUCUCUCUCUUGAUUCACUCUCCUUCCAUAUCUGAUCUAAUCUCUUUAAUUCCUCUUUUCCAAGUUAAUUCACCUGAUUUAGGGGUUAUGCUUCAAAUUCACUUGAUUGAACCAUUAAGUUUGAGGAAAAAACUUAAUUCAUCUGGAUUCAUCUCUAGAAGUCGUGAAUGGCUAGAACGACAUCAAAGAAAUCAAAGACAAGAGAUCAAAGACAAGAGAUCAGAAUUGCAGUAUUUCUCCACUCUUAUUACAAACCAAAAUUCCAGAUUCAAGUAAGCAAUGUAAUGUGCUUGGAAGUUGGAACAUCAUCAAUAGAUCAAUGUACUAGCAAAAAGACUAACUGUUCGAAGAAUUAUAGCAGUUAGAUUAGAUCCUAGAAUACAAGCUCGGCAAGACAUGAAUGCUGGGAAGAAAAUAUAACAACAAAGAUAUGUUCGAUUAAACAAUCGGCGUAUUUUUGAAAAGGCAAAACGAGCAGCAAUGACGGAAAAUGAAAGACAAGAGCUUCUUCAAAAACGACUCAACGCUUAUCAUAUGCCAACAGCAGCACGAGACACACAUCCAACAAAAAAUGAGCAUGAAGCAUCAACAAGUUCUGAUGGAUUCACAAGGUAAGAUUUUGGGUUUCUAUCCACGUCGAAGUCCAAGAAUUAUCGACAGGCAAUCUCAACAACAAGGAUAUGCUCACUUACAGCGACGCCGUGCUACAUAUGCAAGGCAAUCACAACAGCAAAGAGAUUGUCACUUACAGCAGGGUCGUGCUGCAUAUGAAGUAAAACAAGAUUCGAUAGCUGAAGUCGAAACACUAGCGCUUCUUGAUCAAACUGAGUAAUGCUUAUCGCAUUGAAGGUAAAAGGUACCUUCCUGACACCAUUGAUGUUGCCAGUGGAGGACGACAACAAGGAUCUACAGGCUGUGAAUGUUAAGAAAUGAACUCUUUCAGUUUAGCCAUCUCGAGCCUUUGGGUAAAUAGCGAAGUGCAUCAGGUUCCCCACUGUUGGAUUGAUAUCAAGUGCAGUGAAAUUUAUUAAAGUUCCUUUUGUAUAUCCCAAAGAAUUCUAUACAAAACUGGAAGUCUGUCUCUUAUCAUUUUUCUCAUUAGAACUGUUUAUGUUUCCAUUUUCAUCAUAAAAUCUUUGUAUGAAGACAGAUACCUAAUAAGCCUACUAGCGAAGAAGUUGUUUAGUUUGUCA
Papaver somniferum (opium poppy) is the source of this 1265-nucleotide long non-coding RNA. RefSeq lists it as uncharacterized. The transcript has 6 exons. The record is from RefSeq and is a predicted model, not a curated record. NCBI's taxonomy places the organism in Eukaryota, Viridiplantae, Streptophyta, Magnoliopsida, Ranunculales, Papaveraceae.